ACAAUGGCUUUUAUCAAAGCCAUCUUCAUGUAUACUAAUUUCUUG
Opisthocomus hoazin is the source of this 45-nucleotide non-coding RNA. NCBI's taxonomy places the organism in Eukaryota, Metazoa, Chordata, Aves, Opisthocomiformes, Opisthocomidae. The record is from Rfam.